GCCACACCCAGGAACAAAUCAGAAACUUCACCAGGCCAAAAGGAAGCCCAGCCCUAACCCAGAGGCAGAACUUCAGCAGGACUUUUUCUAGCAGCAGAGGAGAGCCAGUCCCUGAAGGGGAUAAGGAGAGGAUGUCAAUGUGGGAAGUCUUGAUGGAUGUCCAAGUUUCCCAGGUUCUAAAUUUAUUGUAAUUUAAUCAUGUUCAUCUCUGAGGACAGUACUAGGCGAUUGCUCUGCAGGGAAUUGAAGGCCCUUCGAUCAUCACUACCUGUCAAGCCUAGGAGCCUUGAAGGGAGGCAUUACCCCGUGAGGUCUGGAGCCUCUGCGUGACAUGAGGUCUGGGGUACCAGUCCAACCUACACCAGGAAAUUAAGAAAAGGUCUCAGAUGUGGGAUUGUGAUCCAGACUCCAGGGAUUAAGAUUUCUUUUCUUCCAGGGAACAAUGGUGAUUGGAGGAAAGAAAAUCCAGAAGCGUACAAGUUGCUCUUCAUACUUCCCGGCAGCUUUCUAGAACAUAUUGUGAAUUACUCUUAGGUAAUGACAUGAAGGACACAGAGUUUGCACCCUUGAGCCAAAUGGUGAUGUACUGCAUGCACCUCAAGUCCAAUUCAUCACCUCUUGGACUGGAGAAGCUACAUGGGGUUGAAUAAUUAAUGUCCCCUGAAGGCCUGGAGACCUCUGGCUGAUUCCAACUGUGAUGCUCAGUCCUGGAGUCUCUCACGACAGCACAUCCACACAGCCAUAUUCCCAGGAGGAAAAGUUACAGAUGGAGUUUGUCAAGUCUAGAGACAUCUGAGACACUCUAUAGAUUCUCUUGUAGGGUCCCUACAGGGACCAUGCCUUAAAAGAUCCUGGGAAGCUUAUUUAUAAUCAUUUCAAAAUGCCUGAGAGAUUGAUAACUCAGGCCUAUUUUCCUUAGGAAAACCCUCUAAAAUAUCUAAACUAAACCCCUACAACUAUCACCACAAUCUACUUUCUCAUAUCCUUCAAACACUUCCUUGGCCCCUGA
RNAcentral lists this long non-coding RNA (1009 nucleotides) under Callithrix jacchus (white-tufted-ear marmoset). RNAcentral's name for it is "lncRNA (ENSCJAG00000059455.2)". Lineage: Eukaryota; Metazoa; Chordata; Mammalia; Primates; Cebidae. The record is from RNAcentral.